RNAcentral lists this ribosomal RNA (1575 nucleotides) under candidate division WWE3 bacterium CG10_big_fil_rev_8_21_14_0_10_39_14. RNAcentral describes it as "bacterial LSU rRNA". It matches the Rfam family "Bacterial large subunit ribosomal RNA", at positions 593 to 1945 of the family's 2925-position model. The record is from RNAcentral. Lineage: Bacteria; candidate division WWE3.
GUGACACCGUGCCUAUUGAAGAAUGAGCCUGCGAGUUAUCUUAAUAUGCGUUGCUUAAGCCCCUACGGGGUGGAGGCGUAGCGAAAGCGAGUCUUAAUAGGGCGUUUUGUAUGUUAAGAUGGACCCGAAACCGGGUGAGCUAACCUUGAGCAGGGUGAAUCCCGAUGAAGAUCGUGGAGGAGGCCCGAACCCUUGUAUGUUGCAAUAUGCUGGGAUGACUUGAGGUUAGGGAUGAAACGUUUAUCGAACCCGGAGAUAGCUGGUUCUCCCCGAAAUAUAUUUAGGUAUAGCCCUAAAAGGUGAGCUUUGGAGGUAAAGAUACUGGAAGGAGACGCGGCGGGAAACCGUACGCUCUCCUACCAAACUCAUAAUGCCAAAGUUUCUAUUUUAGGAGUCAGUAUGUGGGAGCAAGUUCCAUAGUACAAAAGGGAAACAGCCCAGACCAUCAGCUAAGGCCCCUAAAUCCGGAUUAAGUGUGAAAGGAAGUGAAAUUGCUAAAACAUCCAGGAGGUUGGCUCAGAAGCAGCAAUCCUUUAAAGAGUGCGUAACAGCUCACUGGCAUAGCGAUUUCGCGCCGAAAAUUUAUCGGGGCUCAAAUCCGGUGCCGAAGCUAUGGAUACUUGUGCUUCGCACGAGGAAUUCCUAAUUGACCUAAUUGAUAUAAUUAACCUAAACAAAUCCUAGUUUUGGGAAUUAUUUAGAAAUUAGAAAUUAGAAAUUUCCCGUGCGGAGCAUGGGUGUGGUAGGGGAGCGUUCCUAUUGCGACAAAGGUUUCCUGUAAAGGCAAACUGGAGCGGUAGGAAGUGAGAAUGCAGGCAUGAGUAGCGUAAUCCCGAUGAAAAUUCGGGACGCCGAAAGCCCAAGGUUUCCUUCGCAACGUUGUUCGGCGAAGGGUUAGUCGGUCCUAACCGUAGUCCCGAUGAAUCGGGAUGGGGGAUGGACAAACGGUUAAUAUUCCGUUACUUUAAGAUAUCUGUUGAUGGAGCGACGAAGUUUGAUAAGCGGAGCGGCUAUAUGGUUGGCCGUCUAAGCAGUAAGUCAGCAAGUGUAGGCAAAUCCGCAUUUGCGAAAAAUCCCUUUUUGGGAAAGAAGACAAGCUGUGGGAAAUUCCUUUUUGGGAAAUUCCGCCAACUUAAGCUUCCAAGAAAACCUUCUAAACUUUAGAUGUCUUAAAUCCGUACCGCAAACCGACACUGGUGGGCAGAUAGAGAAUAUUAAGGUGAACGGGAGAACGAUGGUUGAGGAACUCGGCAAAUUAACCCCGUAACUUAGGGAUAAGGGGAACCUGCCUCGUGUGGAGCACGAGGGUGAUAAAUUAAAAAUGUAAAUAUCAAGACAUAAAGAAGGGGAAAGCGCAUGGUAUUAAACUUUAAACAUUUGAAUUUUGUCAUUCUCACGCUCUGCGUGAGGCGGGUCGCAGGUAAACGGCCCAAGCGACUGUUUAGCAAAAACACAGCACUCUGCUUAACCCGUAAGGGGAUGUAUAGGGUGUGAGGCCUGCCCGGUGCCCGUAGGUUAAACCCAGAGGUUCACGCUUUUGGGCUAAGCCCGGGUGAACGGCAGCAGUAACUAUGA